AUGGGGGCCCGCUGCGGCCUGCUCGGCUUCCUGCUCGUCGCCGCCGUCCUGCUCCGUUUCCGCGGCGCCCACGCCCUGAACCAGACGUGCGAUGCGGAUGACCUGGAGGCGCUCCGGGCCUUUUCCGACGGCCUGGACGGGAAGGGCGCCGGCGCCGGGCUGCUCGGUUGGGGCGACGGCGAUGGCGGGUCGUGCUGCUCCUGGGCGGGCGUGUCCUGCGACCUCGGGAGGGUGGUUGGGCUGGAUCUCUCCAACCGCAGCCUCCGCGGCGUCAUCUCCCCCUCCGUCGCCUCCCUCAGCCGCCUCGCCGCGCUGAACCUCUCCCGGAACUCGUUCCGCGGCCAGGCGCCGGCGGGGCUCGGCCUGCUCCCCGGGCUGCGGGUGCUCGACCUCAGCGCCAACGCCCUCUCCGGCACGUUCCCGCCGAGCGGCGGCGCCGCCGGCGGGUUCCCGGCGAUUGAGGCGGUGAACGUCUCCUUCAACGAGUUCGCCGGGCCGCACCCUGCGUUCCCCGGCGCGGCGAACCUGACGGUGCUCGACAUCUCCGGCAACCGCUUCUCCGGCAGCAUCAACACCACCGCGCUCUGUGGCGCCACGCAGAACCUGACGGUCCUGCGGUUCUCGGGGAACGCGUUCUCUGGCGAUGUCCCGGCUGGCUUCGGCCGGUGCGAGGCGCUCGCCGAGCUCUCUCUCGACGGCAAUGGCCUCGCGGGGAGCCUCCCGGGUGACCUGUACACGGUGCCUGCGUUGCAGAGGCUGAGCUUACAGGACAACAACCUCUCCGGUGACCUUGACAACCUCGGUAACCUGUCGCAGCUUGUGCAGAUUGACUUGUCAUAUAACAAAUUCACCGGCUUCAUCCCUGAUGUGUUUGGGAGGCUGAGGAGGCUCGAGACCUUAAACUUGGCAACCAAUGGCUUCAAUGGCACAUUGCCCAGUUCACUGUCAAGCUGUCGGAUGUUGACAGUGGUCAGCGUAAGGAACAAUUCGCUCUCCGGUGAGAUCACACUCAACUUCAGCUUGCUGCCAAGGCUGAACACUUUCGAUGCUGGGUCAAACAAGCUGAGUGGUAACAUACCUGCUAGCCUCGCCCGGUGCGCCGAGCUGAAGACGCUGAACCUGGCAAGGAACAAGCUUGAUGGGCAGAUACCGGAGAGCUUCAAGAAUUUGAGUUCACUAUUGUACCUGUCGCUGACAGGCAACGGCUUCACGAACCUGUCAUCGGCAUUGCAGGUCUUGCAGGACCUGCCCAAACUGACCAGCUUGGUGCUCACCAACAAUUUCCAUGGGGGGGAGACGAUGCCAAUGGAUGGCAUCAAAGGGUUCAAGAGCAUGGAGGUGCUUGUCCUGGCGAACUGCGCGCUCACCGGCACAAUUCCGCCUUGGCUGCAGACCUUGGAGAGCCUCAGUGUGCUGGACAUUUCUUGGAACAAGCUGAAUGGUAACAUCCCCCGAUGGUUAGGCAGCCUGAACAAUCUCUUCUACAUUGAUCUGUCAAACAAUUCGUUCACCGGGGAACUCCCUGAGAGCUUUACCCGGAUGAAGGGUCUGAUUUCAAGUGAUGGCUCAAGUGAGCGGGCUUCGACCGAGUACGUCCCGUUAUUUAUAAAGAAGAAUUCAACCGGCAAAGGCCUGCAGUACAACCAAGUCAGCAGCUUCCCGGCGUCACUGAUCCUCUCCAACAACUUGCUUGCUGGGCCGGUAUUGCCAGGCUUUGGUCAUCUUGUGAAGCUUCAUGUACUGGACCUCAGCUGGAACAACUUCUCGGGGCGAAUUCCCGAUGAGUUGUCAGACAUGUCGAGCUUGGAAAAGUUGAAGUUGGCUCACAAUGAUCUCAGUGGGAGCAUACCGUCAUCUCUGACAAAGCUCAAUUUCCUCUCCGACUUUGAUGUGUCAUACAAUAAUUUGACUGGAGAUAUCCCAACCGGGGGCCAGUUUCUGACAUUCGCGAAUGAAGGCUUUCUGGGCAAUCCUGCACUCUGCCUCCUUCGGAAUGCGUCCUGCUCCGAGAAGGCUCGAAUUGUGGAAGCAGCACACCGUAAGAAAAGCAAAGCCAGCCUUGCUGCAGUUGGAGUAGGAACUGCAGUUGGGGUUAUCUUUGUCUUGUGGAUUACUUAUGUGAUUUUGGCAAGGGUUGUCCGUUCAAGAAUGCACGAGCGCAAUCCAAAGGCGGUUGCUAAUGCUGAAGACUCCUCAGGUUCUGCUAACUCAAGCUUGGUGCUGCUUUUCCAGAACAAUAAAGAUCUCAGCAUUGAGGACAUCUUGAAGUCCACGAACCACUUUGAUCAAGCAUACAUAGUUGGAUGUGGUGGUUUUGGCCUCGUCUACAAAUCAACGCUGCCGGAUGGGCGGAGGGUUGCGAUCAAGCGCCUUUCAGGCGACUACUCUCAGAUCGAGAGGGAGUUUCAGGCUGAGGUGGAGACACUUUCAAGGGCCCAGCAUGAGAACCUUGUGUUGCUGCAGGGCUAUUGCAAGAUCGGCAACGACAGGCUGCUGAUCUACUCAUACAUGGAGAAUGGCAGCUUGGAUUACUGGCUUCACGAGAGGACGGAUAGCGGCGCGCUGCUGGAUUGGCAGAAGCGGCUGCGGAUAGCUCAAGGUUCAGCAAGGGGGUUGGCAUACCUGCACAUGUCAUGUGAGCCACACAUACUGCACCGAGACAUCAAGUCAAGCAACAUCCUCCUGGAUGAGAACUUUGAAGCUCAUCUGGCCGAUUUCGGACUGGCGAGGCUUGUCUGCGCGUAUGACACCCACGUCACCACAGAUGUCGUUGGGACCCUGGGCUACAUUCCUCCAGAGUAUGCGCAGUCGCCCAUCGCGACUUACAAGGGCGACAUCUACAGCUUCGGCAUCGUGCUGCUGGAGCUGCUCACCGGCCGGAGGCCUGUGGACAUGUGCAGGCCCAAGGGGAGCAGGGACGUCGUGUCGUGGGUGCUUCAGAUGAGGAAAGAGGAUAGGGAGACCGAGGUUUUCCACCCGAAUGUGCAUGACAAGGCAAACGAAGGCGAGCUGCUGAGGGUGCUCGAGAUUGCAUGCCUCUGCGUAACCGCUGCCCCCAAGUCAAGGCCAACAUCGCAGCAGCUUGUCACCUGGCUCGACGACAUUGCGGAAAACCGUAGCUUAAUAAUCCAGUGA
Molecule: ribosomal RNA, 3135 nt
Filed under: Triticum aestivum (bread wheat)
Lineage: Eukaryota; Viridiplantae; Streptophyta; Magnoliopsida; Poales; Poaceae
Description: partial small subunit ribosomal RNA
Source: RNAcentral